This 1056-nucleotide long non-coding RNA is filed under the name Homo sapiens (human). RNAcentral describes it as "non-protein coding LINC01514:5". The record is from RNAcentral. Lineage: Eukaryota; Metazoa; Chordata; Mammalia; Primates; Hominidae.
CAGGCAUCCGCCACCACACCCAGCUAAUUUUUGUAUUUUUAAUAGAGAUUGGGUUUCACCAGGUUGGCCACGCUGGUCUCGAAUUCCUGACCUCAGGUGAUCCACCCGCCUCGGCCUCCCAAAGUGCUGGGAUUACAGGCGUGAGCCACCGCACCCGGUGAUGCCCAAUCUUUAGAUGAAACCUCCUCUCUGUCUGGCCCAGGGCUGGGUGGUCACAGAGUCAAGGCUCAGUCUGCAUUAUUUCCUUGGCCUCUCCCCCGGCAUCUUCUGCACCUCACUCUGCACUCCCCGAUCCCUCCAGGUGAGCCCAGGACCUGCCACACUGUGCCAGCCUCGCCCAAGCCACCCCCCAGCCAGGACGCGGUCUUUCCUGACUCAGCAGGCUGAGGCACCUGAGGCUUUCAUUUUAAUUAUGAACCACUUCAAAGCCUUUCUGGAAGCAGUCUCUGCAAUAACCAACCUGGGUUCUCUCCUAAUGUGGGGAUUGUCCUGGAGCCCAGGCCUUCCAAGGCUCCUCCGCCCGCCAACAUCACCUACCUCAUCUUCCUCUUCAGCACAUCCCCAACAUUGUCUAAGCGGUAACUCACCUGAGCAAAGCACUUGACACGGAUUCAUUCAUUUACUCCUCACAACAACCUGAUGAGAGCACUGAUUAACUUCAAAGGGGAAAAACAAUAACCUUUACAAUGGAUAGAUCUGGCAGGAACCAUGUUAACCAAGUGAUCAAAGGUAGCAUCACCAAUAAUGGGGCAAACCGACAUCCUGUGCUUCCCCAUUGAUGCGCCGAGAAGGACACAGCAUUGCUCAUGCAGCAUCCUUGUCAAAAAUGCGUAAACGGAAUCUAAUCAUGAGAAAACUGCCAGACAGCCAAACUCUUCAGAAAUGUCAAUAUAAUGAAAGGCAACAAAGAUUGAGAAUAACUUUACCAGGUUAAAGAAAACUAAAAAGAUAUGACAACUGACUGCAACGCAGAAUCCUGGACCAGACCCUGGAUCUGGUCAAAAGAAAAAUGCUUUAAACGACAGUAUUGGGACAAAGGGUAAAAUUUGAAUGUGG